RNAcentral lists this ribosomal RNA (434 nucleotides) under uncultured bacterium. Its description in RNAcentral is "partial 16S ribosomal RNA". It matches the Rfam family "Bacterial small subunit ribosomal RNA", at positions 29 to 507 of the family's 1533-position model. The record is from RNAcentral.
AGCGAACGCUGGCGGCAGGCCUAACACAUGCAAGUCGAACGAACCUUUCGGGGUUAGUGGCGGACGGGUGAGUAACACGUGGGAACGUGCCUUUAGGUUCGGAAUAACUCAGGGAAACUUGUGCUAAUACCGAAUGUGCCCUUCGGGGGAAAGAUUUAUCGCCUUUAGAGCGGCCCGCGUUUGAUUAGCUAGUUGGGUGUGGUAAUGGCUCACCAAGGCGACGAUCAGUAGCUGGUCUGGGAGGAUGAUCAGCCACAUUGGGACUGAGACACGGCCCAAACUCCUACGGGAGGCAGCAGUGGGGAAUCUUGCGCAGUGGGCGAAAGCCUGACGCAGCCCUGCCUCGUGAAUGAUGAAGGUCUUAGGGUUGUAAAAUUCUUUCACCGGGGAAGAUAAUGACGGUACCCGGAGAAGAAGCCCCGGCUAACUUCGUG